Long non-coding RNA from Pipistrellus kuhlii (Kuhl's pipistrelle), 189 nucleotides. RefSeq lists it as uncharacterized. The transcript is spliced from 3 exons. Lineage: Eukaryota; Metazoa; Chordata; Mammalia; Chiroptera; Vespertilionidae. The record is from RefSeq and is a predicted model, not a curated record.
GUAUUUUGGUUUUGUUAAACAUAGAUGUCCUUAGAAAGAUGCUCUUCAAGAGAGGAGAUAAACUCAAAUCACAGUUAUACUUGGCUUUGAUUAUUUAGGACCUGACCUUUAAAAUGUUUUCUUUUAAGAGCAUUUCUUUCAAUGUAUUAUAUGGAAUUUGGUUGGAGACACCAGCUUGGGAAAAUUAUA